RNAcentral lists this ribosomal RNA (253 nucleotides) under uncultured bacterium. RNAcentral's name for it is "partial 16S ribosomal RNA". It matches the Rfam family "Bacterial small subunit ribosomal RNA", at positions 524 to 776 of the family's 1533-position model. The record is from RNAcentral.
UACGUAAGUGGCGAGCGUUAUCCGGAAUUACUGGGCGUAAAGCGUGCGUAGGCGGUUUAGUGUGUGGGAAUUGAAAGCCCGGGGCUCAACUCCGGAUCCGGUUCCCAAACUGCUAGACUCGAGAGUAUCAGAGGAGAGCGGAAUUCCCGGUGUAGCGGUAAUAUGCGUAGAUAUCGGGAGGAACACCGGUGGCGAAGGCGGUUCUCUGGGCCUGUACUGACGCUGAGGAGCGAAAGCGUGGGGAGCGAACAGG